This 468-nucleotide ribosomal RNA is filed under the name uncultured bacterium. RNAcentral's name for it is "partial 16S ribosomal RNA". It matches the Rfam family "Bacterial small subunit ribosomal RNA", at positions 28 to 507 of the family's 1533-position model. The record is from RNAcentral.
GACGAACGCUGGCGGCGUGCUUAACACAUGCAAGUCGAACGGAAAGGCCCUGCUUUUGUGGGGUGCUCGUGUGCGGAACGGGUGAGUAACACGCGAGUAAACUGCCCUUGACUGUGGGAUAUAUCCAGGAAACUGGGGUGAAUACAGGAUAGGAGCUCCUGCUGCACGUUGUGGGAUGGUAAGAUUCGGCGGUUGGGGAUGCUAUAGCGGGUUAUCAGCGUGUUGGUGGGGUAGGGUAUGAUCAUGGCUUUGAAGGGUAGCCGGCCUGAGAGGGUGACCGGCCACAUUGGGACUGAGAGACAGCCCAGACUCCUACGGGGGGCAGCAGGGGGGAAUAUUGCAGAAUGGGCGGAAGCCUGAUGCAGCAACGCCGCGUGCGGGAUGACGGCCUUCGGGUUGUAAACCGCUUGCGCCUGUGACGAAGCGUGAGUGACGGUAAUGGGUAAAGAAGCACCGGCUAACUACGUG